GUCGUGAGAUGUUGGGUUAAGUCCCGCAACGAGCGCAACCCUUGUCCUAUGUUGCCAGCGGGUAAUGCCGGGGACUCGUAGGAGACUGCCGGGGUCGACUCGGAGGAAGGUGGGGACGACGUCAAGUCAUCAUGCCCCUUAUGUCCAGGGCUGCACACAUGCUACAAUGGCCGGUACAAAGGGCUGCUAUUCCGCGAGGAUGAGCGAAUCCCAGAAAGCCGGUCUCAGUUCGGAUUGGAGUCUGCAACUCGACUCCAUGAAGUCGGAGUCGCUAGUAAUCCCGAAUCAGCAACGUCGGGGUGAAUACGUUCCCGGGCCUUGUACACACCGCCCGUCACACCACGAAAGUUGGUAACACCCGAAGCCAGUGGCCCAACCGCAAGGAGGGAGCUGUCGAAGGUGGGAUCAGCGAUUGGGGUGAAGUCGUAACAAGGUAGCCGUACCGGAAGGUGCGGCUGGAUCACCUCCUUUCUAAGGAGUCCUACUCCCUCUUCUUUCACGACGAGGGAACUCCUAAGUUGAUCACUGGCUAUUCGGCUAGAUGCGUGGUCGCAGGUUUCGACCUCCCACCGUCCGGCCGGGCCGAUCCUCUAUUCCGUUUUGAGGGAGCGACCUGUCGCGUCUGCGCGACAGCACUCGCUGGUUGUUCCUUGAGAAUUCCAUAGCGAGCACGAGCAUCUUUGUUCUCCAAGCUACAAAGAGCCAACGGUGGAUGCCUUGGCGCCUGAAGCCGAAGAAGGACGUGGGUGACUGCGAUAAGCCACGGGGAGCUGUCUACCAAGCGUCGAUCCGUGGAUGU
This 799-nucleotide small RNA is filed under the name uncultured Actinomycetes bacterium. RNAcentral describes it as "bacterial SSU rRNA". The stretch from base 1 to 471 matches the Rfam family "Bacterial small subunit ribosomal RNA", at positions 1064 to 1533 of the family's 1533-position model. The record is from RNAcentral. Lineage: Bacteria; Bacillati; Actinomycetota; Actinomycetes.